GUAUUGAUUGCGUAUCGCAAAGUGGGGUCAUUCUACACUUUUUAAAAGGGGUGUUUGUGUGAAAACGCGAGCCCCCUCCGAGAUGAUCCCAAAGGGUGCCCACGCGGUGAUGCACAAAGGGUGAGAUGGAUUAUUAUGUGAGGAAACACACCCGGGCGUGCACGACAUUGAGUCAGCGACAGCCCUUGCAUGCCCCUCACAUUUUGUACGAUAAUGAUCCUUCCGCAGGUUCACCUACGGAAA
This 243-nucleotide unclassified non-coding RNA is filed under the name uncultured fungus. RNAcentral's name for it is "sequence contains ITS1". Lineage: Eukaryota; Fungi. The record is from RNAcentral.